AACGAACGCUGGUGGCGCGCCUAAAACAUGCAAGUCGAACGAGAAAGUCCUUCGGGGCGAGUAGAGUGGCGCACGGGUGAGUAACGCGUGGAUAACCUACCAUUAGGACGGGGAUAACGUUCCGAAAGGAGCGCUAAUACCGGAUGAAGUUGAGAGAACAGUGGGGUUCUUUCAAUGAAAACAUAGUAUAGUGGCCUAAUGAGGGGUCUGCGUCCCAUUAGCUUGUUGGUGAGGUAAAAGCUCAUCCAAGGCUUUGAUGGGUAGCUGGUCUGAGAGGAUGAUCAGCCACACUGGAACUGAAACACGGUCCAG
This 312-nucleotide ribosomal RNA is filed under the name uncultured bacterium. Its description in RNAcentral is "bacterial SSU rRNA". It matches the Rfam family "Bacterial small subunit ribosomal RNA", at positions 29 to 334 of the family's 1533-position model. The record is from RNAcentral.